This 430-nucleotide ribosomal RNA is filed under the name uncultured bacterium. RNAcentral describes it as "partial 16S ribosomal RNA". It matches the Rfam family "Bacterial small subunit ribosomal RNA", at positions 29 to 504 of the family's 1533-position model. The record is from RNAcentral.
AACGAACGCUGGCGGCAUGCCUAACACAUGCAAGUCGAACGAGACCUUCGGGUCUAGUGGCGCACGGGUGCGUAACGCGUGGGAACCUGCCCUUAGGUUCGGAAUAACUCCCCGAAAGGGGUGCUAAUACCGGAUAAUGUCUUCGGACCAAAGAUUUAUCGCCUUUGGAUGGGCCCGCGUUGGAUUAGCUAGUUGGUAGGGUAAAAGCCUACCAAGGCGACGAUCCAUAGCUGGUCUGAGAGGAUGAUCAGCCACACUGGGACUGAGACACGGCCCAGACUCCUACGGGAGGCAGCAGUGGGGAAUAUUGGACAAUGGGCGAAAGCCUGAUCCAGCAAUGCCGCGUGAGUGAUGAAGGCCUUAGGGUUGUAAAGCUCUUUGACCCGGGAUGAUAAUGACAGUACCGGGAGAAUAAGCUCCGGCUAACUCC